Equus caballus (horse) is the source of this 1895-nucleotide long non-coding RNA. The record is from Ensembl. NCBI's taxonomy places the organism in Eukaryota, Metazoa, Chordata, Mammalia, Perissodactyla, Equidae.
AAAGUCAAGAUGAAUUUUAUAUUAUUCAUCACCCAACAAGUAUUUAUUGAGGUCCCUGGCAAGAGCUCAAAAUCGUACUGUAAAAUUCCCCUGGAAAAGAAGGGAGACAGCGGGAUAUAUACUGCAGAAGGGAUUUAUGGCUGGAUUCAAGGCGAUUAUUCCGGGAAAACAUCCUCAGGUUUCAGCCAUUCACUUUCCUGGAAUUCUAACGGAGGUACCAAGCUGGAAGAGCCCAAAAGACACACACCAAGCUGCCCAGAGAGCUCUCCUCUAAAACGCACACUGCAGCUCUAUAAGCAGACCGGUCCACUCAACGAGUGACGCUGUGGUGGGACUCCCUUUCAUUUGGUGUCAAAGCCAUGAAAAAUCUCCUCAUGCGCUGGGUUUCCACCCAGCCCCAGUGAGGAGACACCCCGAUGCGUGGGAUAGUCAAAGAGUGCAGGACUGCAGCCAGGAGACCUGAUCUCCGUCUGGGCCGCCCCAUUGAAUUGCUGCACAACUCCAGGCAGGUGACUGAGCCUCCCUGGACCCCGUCUCCCCAUCUCUCAAGUGACGGGGGCUGGACUCAAUGACUCCUAUGAUGGUUAAUUUUAUGCAUCAACCUGGCUGGACCACAGUGCCCAGGUGUAAGAUGCUGGGAGUCUGAAUGGCCACAGAGAGGAAAGUAUGCGCGUUUCUCAGCCUGCAGCUCCUCGGGGCAGGGAUGUCAGAGUGAUCAGGACAAUGUCCUCUUUCAGGAGGACUUGUGCAAUGGGCGUCCUCGGCACAGCAAUAAAUACCAGUAGUUCCACAACUGGUACACCAAGUACUGUGCGGGUAUGGAGAGAGAUAAAUUGAUAUGAGUGCAGCCAAGAGGAAAUGCAAAAGGGGAGGGUAUGAAGACAGCUUCACAUUCCACCAGUUUUGCCAUCUUCUGCAGGGACCUCCCCGGCUACUUGCCACAUUAUGACGCUGUUAUUCCAGGGGCAGGAAGCAGGUUCUCUACUGGUGAUUGAUGAGGUGUUGCUAUAGAGCGGAGCAUCUGCCACAGAGGAAACAGGGAGACUGUCUCUGCAAGACACCAUCCAGGGGAAGGCGGGAGGGAGGGAGAGCAGGAGCAGGCUGAUGCUGAAAUCCAUCUGAGGACCACAGCGGCUCAGAGAAGCCUGCCCCGCACCAGCUGUUGUCUGGAAGCCCCAGGACCCUUUCACGCCUCUCCUUUGACACACUUUGAGCAGAUCUCGGCCACGGCUUUCAGACCUAGAGAGACCACAGAUGGCAGAUGGCAGCUCCUUCUCAUCCUCCUUUGCUGUCUCUUCUUCCUCCUUAAGUCCUGUGUCUCCCAUGUUCCAGCCAAGGUCCUCUUCUCUCCUAGUCUACGCCUUCCUAGGUUGUUUCAUCUAUGCGCAAGGCUCUAAUUACCACCCCUGAGCGGCUGCACCCCAAAUCUAGACACCCAGUCCUUCUUCUCUCCUGGGGUCCUGACAAGCUCCUCUAGAAUGUAAGCCCCAUGAAAGCAAGGAUGGUCAUCUCUUGUUCUCUGCUGCCUCUCCAGCUUCUGGAACAGUUCCUGGAACAUAAGUGAUGAUUAAUAAAUAUCUGUUGAAUCAGUGAAUGAACCUGCCUCCCACAGCCUUUAGACAUCUCCACCUCGGCUUGCUUGGACUCACCAUGUAUAAAACCCAACUCUUGGUCUCCCCUCAAAACCUGGGCCCCCUCUUGUGUUCCCCAUUUUGUUGAUUCCCUCCACCAUCCAUUUCCUUGCUAGUCCCCAAAUCAGGGCGCCAUCUGUGUCUCCUUUGUUCUCCAUCGCCUCCGACUUCAAUGAGUCUCCAGGUGCUACCUUCUUAGUAUUAAUUACUGUUCGCUUUUCUCUUUCUCCACCUGGACUGAGGAAUGAGACACCCUCAUUCUUG